UGGCGGACGGGUGAGUAAUGUCUGGGAAACUGCCCGAUGGAGGGGGAUAACUACUGGAAACGGUAGCUAAUACCGCAUAACGUCGCAAGACCAAAGAGGGGGACCUUCGGGCCUCUUGCCAUCGGAUGUGCCCAGAUGGGAUUAGCUGUAGGUGGGGUAACGGCUCACCUAGGCGACGAUCCCUAGCUGGUCUGAGAGGAUGACCAGCCACACUGGAACUGAGACACGGUCCAG
Molecule: ribosomal RNA, 234 nt
Filed under: uncultured bacterium
Lineage: Bacteria
Description: partial 16S ribosomal RNA
Rfam family: Bacterial small subunit ribosomal RNA
Source: RNAcentral